UACAAAACUUCAUCCUCACCGUCAAUUCAAAAUGAUCUCUUUAGCUCUCUAUCUUCUUUCUUCUUGUCUUUCUAAUAGUCUGAUAUUUUUCUCCUUUUUCGUCUCUUUCUUCAUUUUGGUUAGCUCCAAGAAUGCCUACAAAAUAGCUCUUCGAAAAUGCAUGAUUCAACUUCUAUUUCAGAAAAUCUAAUGCCAGCGAUUAGCAUGAUAUUGAUUUCAGGAGGUGUUGGUUUUAGGACAUAAAUUUUGGGAUUGGAGAAGCUUCUAAGUGGGUCAAGGGGGAGCAAUUGGAAGAAGUUGUGGCCAUUAAAAACACAUAUGGGAUUGGUGGCAAAAAGAUAGCUUUUGUGG
Molecule: long non-coding RNA, 351 nt
Organism: Quercus lobata
Lineage: Eukaryota; Viridiplantae; Streptophyta; Magnoliopsida; Fagales; Fagaceae
Exons: 4
Source: RefSeq, a predicted model, not a curated record